Canis lupus familiaris (dog) is the source of this 536-nucleotide long non-coding RNA. RefSeq lists it as uncharacterized. The record is from RefSeq and is a predicted model, not a curated record. NCBI's taxonomy places the organism in Eukaryota, Metazoa, Chordata, Mammalia, Carnivora, Canidae. The transcript has 3 exons.
CUCAUUGUGUCGAAAGGACGGGACUUGAUGCAUGCUCUGUCAGUGGUGAUCAUAGUUACUGAGAUGGGUCUGCACUGAUGUCUGGGAGUUUGGACUGAAUCUUAAUGACAUGUGAAGGCGACCUGCAAGAAAUAUACUGCUCUGUUGGAAAGCUGGUGCUCUGCUAGGCAGGAGGAAUCCUCACAGAUUGGCGGUUCCCCUUCUGUCAGGCCCUGUUAUGGACAGUGUUCAUGUGGUCAAAGCUUAUCUAAAGGCUGAACAAGUCAACACUGUAAUCUUCUGGAAUGUUGGAAAAGGGGAAAAGCAUGGAAAUCGAGAAAUCAGCAUCCAGAAGAAUCCCAGUGACAAGCUGGGCUCCUAGCUAAAAAAGAUGCCUGAUGUUUAUCCCUGGAUAUGAGCAUGUCCAAGAACACUAUUUUAUAUCAAUGGUCAAGAAACAUCUUCCUAUUCUGGAGUUAUGGGAAGGUACCCUUCAGCAAUACAGAGGUGGAAGGAAGAAUAUUUGAAGGAGACUGAUAUUUAUGUCACCUAUAUUA